Molecule: ribosomal RNA, 895 nt
Filed under: Anthracocystis sp. ML-2015
Lineage: Eukaryota; Fungi; Basidiomycota; Ustilaginomycetes; Ustilaginales; Ustilaginaceae
Description: LSU rRNA
Rfam family: Eukaryotic large subunit ribosomal RNA
Source: RNAcentral
GCAUAUCAAUAAGCGGAGGAAAAGAAACUAACAAGGAUUCCCCUAGUAACGGCGAGUGAAGAGGGAAGAGCCCAAGAUUGAAAGCUGGCGUCUUCGGCGUCCGCAUUGUAAUCUCAAGAAGUGUUUUCCGCUUCGGACCAUGCCUAAGUCCCUUGGAAAAGGGCAUCAUAGAGGGUGAUAAUCCCGUACAUGGCAUGGAGCGCCCGAGGCUUUGUGAUACGCUUUCUAAGAGUCGAGUUGUUUGGGAAUGCAGCUCAAAAUGGGUGGUAAAUGCCAUCUAAGGCUAAAUAUUGGGGAGAGACCGAUAGCGAACAAGUACAGUGAUGGAAAGAUGAAAAGAACUUUGAAAAGAGAGUUAAACAGUACGUGAAAUUGCCAAAAGGGAAGGGUAGGAGGUCAGAGAUGCGUCUUGGGAUUCAGCCUUGCUUUUGCUUGGUGUUUUUCCCAAGUUGCAGGCCAACGUCGGUUUUGGGCACUGGAGAAGGGUGGAAGGAACGUGGCACCUCUCGGGGUGUGUUAUAGCCUUCCACUGGAUACAGCGACCGGGACCGAGGACAGCAGCGUACUCGCAAGAGCGGGCCUUCGGGCACCUUUACGCUUAGGACGUUGGCAUAAUGGCCCUCUACCACCCGUCUUGAAACACGGACCAAGGAGUCUAACAUGUAUGCGAGUCUUUGGGUGGCAAACCCAUAGGCGCAAUGAAAGUGAAUUCAGGUGGGAUCCGCAAGGUGCACCAUCGACCGAUCCUCACGUCUUUUAAGUCGUGGAUUUGAGUAAGAGCAUACCUGUUGGGACCCGAAAGAUGGUGAACUAUGCCUGAAUAGGGUGAAGCCAGAGGAAACUCUGGUGGAGGCUCGUAGCGGUUCUGACGUGCAAAUCGAUCGUCAAAUUUGGG